GAUGAACGCUGGCGGCGUGCCUAAUACAUGCAAGUCGAGCGAACAGACGAGGAGCUUGCUCCUCUGACGUUAGCGGCGGACGGGUGAGUAACACGUGGAUAACCUACCUAUAAGACUGGGAUAACUUCGGGAAACCGGAGCUAAUACCGGAUAAUAUAUUGAACCGCAUGGUUCAAUAGUGAAAGACGGUUUUGCUGUCACUUAUAGAUGGAUCCGCGCCGCAUUAGCUAGUUGGUAAGGUAACGGCUUACCAAGGCGACGAUGCGUAGCCGACCUGAGAGGGAGAGAGGAGACACUGGAAGUGAGACACGGUACAGACUCCUACGGGAGGGAGCAGUAGGGAAUCUUCCGCAAUGGGUGAAAUCCUGACGGAGCAACGCUGCGUGGGUGAUGAAGGUCUUCGGAUCGUAAAACUCUGUUAUUAGGGAAGAAAAAAUGUGUAAGUAACUAUGCACGUCUUGACGGUACCUAAGCAGAAAGCCACGGCUAACUACGUG
Molecule: ribosomal RNA, 497 nt
Filed under: uncultured bacterium
Lineage: Bacteria
Description: partial 16S ribosomal RNA
Rfam family: Bacterial small subunit ribosomal RNA
Source: RNAcentral